Molecule: non-coding RNA, 29 nt
Filed under: Rattus norvegicus (Norway rat)
Lineage: Eukaryota; Metazoa; Chordata; Mammalia; Rodentia; Muridae
Source: RNAcentral
UGAGAAUCAUUAAAGACAUUUGCCAAGGA